RNAcentral lists this long non-coding RNA (625 nucleotides) under Ananas comosus (pineapple). RNAcentral describes it as "long non-coding RNA (ACOM_LNC029813)". The record is from RNAcentral. Lineage: Eukaryota; Viridiplantae; Streptophyta; Magnoliopsida; Poales; Bromeliaceae.
AUAUAUAUAUAUAUAUGUUAGGGUUACUAUACUCUUAUGUGUAUAGACCCCCUUUAUACUCAUAAGUUGUUUAUAAUGAUGGAGCUUCCGAAUCGACGAUCUACUCCAUUAAAUAUGAUCUAGAGUAUUUGAAACUUUUAGAAAAUAAAUUUCGUAAUUUUUCGAAAUCAUAAUAAAGUUCAUCAAGCGGGUAUAAAAUGAACGGUCAAAAUCGAACGACGUCUUAAAAAUGAAUGAUCGGAUUCUUCAAUUUAAGAUCGGAGUUAUUGAUAUUUAUUUAUAUAGUGAAUAAAAUUUUCUAUCAAAGAUUCAACCAAUUUCGAUUCAUUUACACCGUUAAACUAGCAAUAUUCCAUACCGAAUGUUAAAAAUUAUUAAUUUUGUGACAUUUUGAUCGUAAGGUAAAUGAUGUCGAAAAAUUAUAAAAUUUGAUUUCUAGAUGUUUUAAAUGCUCUAGAUAAUGUUUAACGGUAUGGAUCGUCGAUUCGGAAGCUCUAUCAUCGAAAACAACUUAUAAGAUCGUACUCAUAAAAGUACAGUAGCCAGACUCUCUCUCUCUCUAUAUAUAUAUAUAUUGAUCUGAUAUACUCUUAUCUGAUUUAAAACUUUUGCUUAUACUGCAGUA